This 162-nucleotide ribosomal RNA is filed under the name uncultured bacterium. RNAcentral describes it as "partial 16S rRNA". It matches the Rfam family "Bacterial small subunit ribosomal RNA", at positions 358 to 511 of the family's 1533-position model. The record is from RNAcentral.
GGAAUCUUCCACAAUGGGCGCAAGCCUGAUGGAGCAACACCGCGUGAGUGAAGAAGGUUUUCGGAUCGUAAAGCUCUGUUGUAAGAGAAGAACGUGUGUGAGAGUGGAAAGUUCACACAGUGACGGUAACUUACCAGAAAGGGACGGCUAACUACGUGCUAG